RNAcentral lists this ribosomal RNA (497 nucleotides) under uncultured bacterium. Its description in RNAcentral is "partial 16S ribosomal RNA". It matches the Rfam family "Bacterial small subunit ribosomal RNA", at positions 28 to 507 of the family's 1533-position model. The record is from RNAcentral.
GAUGAACGCUGGCGGCGUGCCUAAUACAUGCAAGUCGAGCGAACAGACGAGGAGCUUGCUCCUCUGACGUUAGCGGCGGACGGGUGAGUAACACGUGGAUAACCUACCUAUAAGACUGGGAUAACUUCGGGAAACCGGAGCUAAUACCGGAUAAUAUAUUGAACCGCAUGGUUCAAUAGUGAAAGACGGUUUUGCUGUCACUUAUAGAUGGAUCUGCGCCGCAUUAGCUAGUUGGUAAGGUAACGGCUUACCAAGGCAACGAUGCGUAGCCGACCUGAGAGGGUGAUCGGCCACACUGGAACGGGGACACGGUCCAGGCUCCUACGGGAGGCAGCAGUAGGGAAUCUUCCGCAAUGGGCGAAAGCCUGACGGAGCAACGCCGCGUGAGUGAUGAAGGUCUUCGGAUCGUAAAACUCUGUUAUUAGGGAAGAACAAAUGUGUAAGUAACUAUGCACGUCUUGACGGUACCUAAUCAGAAAGCCACGGCUAACUACGUG